AGUCAACCUACCCUAUGGACGGGAAUAAUCUCGGGAAACUGAGGAUAAUUCCAGAUAGAACACUACGCCUGGAACGGUUUGUGUUCCAAAUGAUUUAUCGCCGUAGGAUGGGACUGCGUCCUAUCAGUUUGUUGGUGAGGUAAUGGCCCACCAAGACUAUUACAGGUACGGGCUCUGAGAGGAGUAGCCCGGAGAUGGGUACUGAGACACGGACCCAGGCCCUAUGGGGCGCAGCAGGCGAGAAAACUUUGCAAUGUGCGAAAGCACGACAAGGUUAAUCCGAGUGGUUCCUGCUAAAGGAACCUUUUGACGGUCCUAAAAACACCGUUGAAUAAGGGGUGGGCAAGUUCUGGUGUCAGCCGCCGCGGUAAAACCAGCACCUCAAGUGGUCAGGAUGAUUAUUGGGCCUAAAGCAUCCGUAGCCGGCUCUGUGAGUUUUCGGUUAAAUCUGUGCGCUCAACGUACAGGCUGCCGGGAAUACUGCAGAGCUAGGGAGUGGGAGAGGUAGACGGUACUUGGUAGGAAGGGGUAAAAUCCUUUGAUCUAUUGAUGACCACCUGUGGCGAAGGCGGUCUACCAGAACACGUCCGACGGUGAGGGAUGAAAGCUGGGGGAGCAAACCGGAUUAGAUACCCGGGUAGUCCCAGCUGUAAACCAUGCAAACUCAAUGAUGCAUUGGCUUGAAGCCAAUGCAGUGUU
This 699-nucleotide ribosomal RNA is filed under the name uncultured marine archaeon. RNAcentral describes it as "bacterial SSU rRNA". It matches the Rfam family "Archaeal small subunit ribosomal RNA", at positions 102 to 802 of the family's 1478-position model. The record is from RNAcentral.